GACAGAGGGUGCAAACGUUGCUCGGAAUCACUGGGCGUAAAGGGCGUGUAGGCGGGACGGUAAGUCGGGCGUGAAAUCCCUAGGCUCAACCUAGGAACUGCACUCGAAACUACCAUUCUUGAGUGUCGGAGAGGAAAGCGGAAUUCCUGGUGUAGAGGUGAAAUUCGUAGAUAUCAGGAGGCACACCAGUGGCGAAGGCGGCUUUCUGGACGAUAACUGACGCUGAGACGCGAAAGCGUGGGGAGCGAACAGG
RNAcentral lists this ribosomal RNA (253 nucleotides) under uncultured bacterium. RNAcentral describes it as "partial 16S ribosomal RNA". It matches the Rfam family "Bacterial small subunit ribosomal RNA", at positions 524 to 776 of the family's 1533-position model. The record is from RNAcentral.